GAUGAACGCUGGCGGUAUGCCUAACACAUGCAAGUCGUACGAGAGUUUCUAACUCUAGUGGCGGACGGGUGAGUAACACGUGAGAAUUUGCCUUUAGGAGGGGGAUAACAAUUGGAAACGAAUGCUAAUACCCCAUAUGCUUUUGAGUGAAAUGGAUUUUAUCCGCCUAGAGAGAAGCUCGCGGCUGAUUAGCUUGUUGGUAAGGUAAGAGCUUACCAAGGCGACGAUCAGUAUCUGGUUUGAGAGGACGAUCAGACACACUGGAACUGAGACACGGUCCAGACUCCUACGGGAGGCAGCAGUGGGGAAUUUUCCGCAAUGGGCGAAAGCCUGACGGAGCAAUACCGCGUGAGGGAAGAAUAGCCUAUGGGUUGUAAACCGUCUUUUUU
This 389-nucleotide ribosomal RNA is filed under the name uncultured bacterium. Its description in RNAcentral is "bacterial SSU rRNA". It matches the Rfam family "Bacterial small subunit ribosomal RNA", at positions 28 to 439 of the family's 1533-position model. The record is from RNAcentral.